AAUCAACGCUGGCGGCGUGCCUCAGACAUGCAAGUCGAACGAUUAAAGCUCUCUUCGGAGAGUGUAUAGAGUGGCGCACGGGUGAGUAACACGUAAGUAAUCUACCUUUGAGUGGGAAGUAACAGUCGGAACGACUGCUAAUACCGCAUAAUGCAGCGGCAUCGCAAGAUGACAGUUGUUAAAGGAGCAAUCCGCUUAAAGAGGAGCUGUCGGCAGAUUAGCUAGUUGGUAAGGUAAUGGCUUACCAAGGCUACGAUCUGUAUCCGGUCUAAGAGGACGGUCGGACACACUGACACUGAAUAACGGGUCAGACUCCUAC
This 319-nucleotide ribosomal RNA is filed under the name uncultured bacterium. Its description in RNAcentral is "bacterial SSU rRNA". It matches the Rfam family "Bacterial small subunit ribosomal RNA", at positions 32 to 342 of the family's 1533-position model. The record is from RNAcentral.